AAAUCCGCACGACUUGUCGAACCUGAUAGUACAGCAAAGCUUCGGCAGCGCUGAUAGUGAUCCUAAUCAUACCUCCGAGAAAAACCUCUAAGUUAUGGUGUAAGCAGCCCGUACCGUAAACCGACACAGGUGGGUGGGAUGAAUAUUCUAAGGCGCUCGGGUGAGCCGUGGAGAAGGAACUAGGCAAAUUGACGCUGUAACUUCGGGAUAAAGCGUACCGUCUUCGGACGGUCUCAGUAAAAUGGUUCAACCAACUGUUUAGCAAAAACACAGGGCCCUGCAAAAUCGAAAGAUGACGUAUAGAGCCUGAUACCUGCCCGGUGCUGGAAGGUUAAGGAAGGAUGUUCGGCGCAAGCCAAAGCUUCUGACUGAAGCCCCAGUAAACGGCGGCCGUAACGAUAACGGUCCUAAGGUAGCGAAAUUCCUUGUCGGGUAAGUUCCGACCUGCACGAAUGGUCUAAUGAGUUGAACACUGUCUCCUCCACGAGCCCGGUGAAAUUGUAGUAUCGGUGAAGAUGCCGGUUACCCGUCACGGGACGGAAAGACCCCAUGAACCUUCACUACAACUUUGCAUUGAUUUUGAAUUUUUGAUGUGUAGGAUAGUUGGGAGACUUUGAAGCUGUGUCGCUAGGCAUGGUGGAGUCGUUGUUGAAAUACCAACCUUUAAACAUUUAGAAUCUAAUCCCUAACGGGAAACAGUGCAUGGUGGGUAGUUUGACUGGGGUGGUCGCCUCCUAAAGUGUAACGGAGGCUUGCAAAGGUUCCCUCAGUACGGUUGGUAAUCGUACAUAGAGCGUAUUAGUAUAAGGGAGCUUGACUGUGAGACUUACAAGUCGAGCAGGGACGAAAGUCGGCUAAAGUGAUCCGGCGGUUCUGUAUGGAAGGGCCGUCGCUCAAAGGAUAAAAGGUACUCUGGGAUAACAGGCUGAUCUCCCCCAAGAGCUCAUAUCGACGGGGAGGUUUGGCACCUCGAUGUCGGUUCGUCACAUCCUGGGGCUGGAGAAGGUCCCAAGGGUUCGGCUGUUCGCCGAUUAAAGUGGCACGUGAACUGGGUUCAGAACGUCGCAAGACAGUUCGGUCCCUAUCUGUGAUGGGCGCUAGUAAAUUGAAAGGACAUGACCUUAGUACGAGAGGACCGGCUCGUACACACCGCUGGUGUAUCUGUUGUGCCGCCAGGUGCAAUGCAGAGUAGCUAUGUGUGGCCAGGAUAAACGCUGAAAGCAUCUAAGCGUGAAACCUUCCUUAAGAUGAGUUUACUUUUAAGGGUCGUCAGAGACUAUGACGUUGAUAGGCUAUAGGUAUAAAGGUGGUAACAUCAAAGCCGAGUAGUACUAAUUGCCCGUAAGCUUUACUAA
Molecule: ribosomal RNA, 1355 nt
Filed under: metagenome
Description: bacterial LSU rRNA
Rfam family: Bacterial large subunit ribosomal RNA
Source: RNAcentral